UAAGUUUAUCCUAAGUCAAACCUGUUUAACUUUGUUCCAUUCUACAGAAAAAUGUGGUAAGAUCUACGACACCAAAUACACAUAGUGUGAAAAUACAUUUCAUAAAUAAUCUCAUGAGACUAGUUUGAUGAUCUAGGUGAUAAUAUAUUUUUCUAUAGAUUUGGUCAAACUUAAACAAGUUUGACUUAGGACAAACCCUA
This 200-nucleotide microRNA precursor is filed under the name Triticum aestivum (bread wheat). RNAcentral's name for it is "MIR1435 microRNA precursor family". It matches the Rfam family "MIR1435 microRNA precursor family". The record is from Rfam by way of RNAcentral. RNAcentral also lists the same sequence under 1 other name. Lineage: Eukaryota; Viridiplantae; Streptophyta; Magnoliopsida; Poales; Poaceae.